This 423-nucleotide ribosomal RNA is filed under the name Notomastus sp. NHM_162. RNAcentral's name for it is "partial 16S ribosomal RNA". It matches the Rfam family "Bacterial large subunit ribosomal RNA", at positions 1953 to 2620 of the family's 2925-position model. The record is from RNAcentral. Lineage: Eukaryota; Metazoa; Annelida; Polychaeta; Capitellidae.
AAGGUAGCAUGGUAAGUUGCCCCUUAAUGGGGGGCUGGUACGAAAGGAUUUAUGAGUCCUCUACUGUCUCCGAAAUAUAGUGUAAAUUAGGCUUCAAGUGAAGACACUUGGAUGUGGCUAAAGGACAAGAAGACCCCGUUGAGCUUUAGUUUGAUAUUGCAUUUGGGCGGUAGUGAGCUUUGGCUGGGGCGGCAAAUGUCCAUCUAGAGCGACUAAAGAUUGUGAGACAUUUUGUCGGGCGGGGAGAUUGUGUAAACAAAGAAAGCUACCACGGGGGUAACAGGCUAAUCCACUUGGAGAGUACAUAUUGAUGAGUGGGUUUGGCACCUCGAUGUUGGCUCAAGGUUUCCCGCAGGCGCAGGUGUUUGUGAAGGUAGGUAUGUUCGCCCUUUAAAGCCUUACGUGAUCUGAGUUCAGACCGGA